AGGUCCGAGCCAACCAGUUGAGAAAAAAGUUCGCUCCCAACAAAAAUCAUCGACUCAUUGUCCACUUUUUAAGUUUCGGCACUGUGAUUUUAAAAUAUAUAUUCAUACACCUGAAAGUACUAUAAAUAAGAUUUCUAAAAAAAAAACUAAAUUUAAAUAUUUAAAUAUAAUUGAGUAAAAGAUCAAGAAUAAAGAAUUAGUUUAAAUGAGAC
Molecule: long non-coding RNA, 212 nt
Filed under: Elaeis guineensis (African oil palm)
Lineage: Eukaryota; Viridiplantae; Streptophyta; Magnoliopsida; Arecales; Arecaceae
Description: long non-coding RNA (EGUI_LNC065153)
Source: RNAcentral